This 307-nucleotide ribosomal RNA is filed under the name uncultured bacterium. RNAcentral describes it as "bacterial SSU rRNA". It matches the Rfam family "Bacterial small subunit ribosomal RNA", at positions 28 to 323 of the family's 1533-position model. The record is from RNAcentral.
GAUGAACGCUAGCUACAGGCUUAACACAUGCAAGUCGAGGGGAAACGACAUCGAAAGCUUGCUUUUGGUGGGCGUCGACCGGCGCACGGGUGAGUAACGCGUAUCCAACCUGCCCACCACUUGGGGAUAACCUUGCGAAAGUAAGACUAAUACCCAAUGAUAUCCCACGAAGGCAUCCGAAUGGGAUUAAAGAUUUAUCGGUAGAUGGAUGGGGAUGCGUCUGAUUAGCUUGUUGGCGGGGUAACGGCCCACCAAGGCAACGAUCAGUAGGGGUUCUGAGAGGAAGGUCCCCCACAUUGGAACUGAG